This 71-nucleotide transfer RNA is filed under the name Loxodonta africana (African savanna elephant). It matches the Rfam family "tRNA". From Rfam's summary of the family: Transfer RNA (tRNA) molecules are approximately 80 nucleotides in length. Their secondary structure includes four short double-helical elements and three loops (D, anti-codon, and T loops). The record is from Rfam by way of RNAcentral. Lineage: Eukaryota; Metazoa; Chordata; Mammalia; Proboscidea; Elephantidae.
ACAUUGAUGGUUCAGUGGUAGAAUUCUCACCUUCCAUAUGGGAGAUCCAGGUUCAAUUCCUGGUCAGUGCA